Molecule: ribosomal RNA, 274 nt
Filed under: uncultured bacterium
Lineage: Bacteria
Description: partial 16S ribosomal RNA
Rfam family: Bacterial small subunit ribosomal RNA
Source: RNAcentral
AUACGUAGGUGGCGAGCGUUAUUCGGAUUUAUUGGGCGUAAAGGGUUCGUAGGGGGUUUGUUAAGUCUGGUGUGAAAGCCCGCGGCUCAACCGCGGAACUGCAUUGGAUACUGACAGACUAGAGCAUAGGAGAGGAGAGUGGAAUUCCUGGUGUAGCGGUGGAAUGCGUAGAUAUCGGGAGGAACACCAGAGGCGAAGGCGGCUCUCUGGGCUAUUCCUGACGCUGAGGCGCGAAAGCGUGGGGAGCGAACAGGAUUAGAAACCCCAGUAGUCC